GUUUGAUCCUGGCUCAGAACGAACGUUAGCGGCGCGCCUAACACAUGCAAGUCGAGCGAGAAGGAAGCAAUUCCUGUAAAAGCGGCGCACGGGUGAGUAACACGUAGGUAAUCUACCUCGAAGUGGUGGAUAACCUUCCGAAAGGAGGGCUAAUACAGCAUGAGACCACGGUUUCGAAAGAGAUUGAGGUCAAAGCGGGCCACUAUACAUAAGCUCGCGCUUCGAGAUGAGCCUGCGGCCCAUCAUGGUAGUUGGUAGGGUAAUGGCCUACCAAGCCGAAGACGGGUAGCUGGUCUGAGAGGAUGAUCAGCCACACUGGAACUGAGACACGGUCCAGACUCCUACGGGAGGCAGCAGUGGGGAAUCUUGCGCAAUGGGCGAAAGCCUGACGCAGCGACGCCGCGUGAGUGAUGAAGGCCUCGGUUGUAAAGGCUCUGUGGAGGGGGACGGAAGUAA
Molecule: ribosomal RNA, 456 nt
Filed under: uncultured bacterium
Lineage: Bacteria
Description: bacterial SSU rRNA
Rfam family: Bacterial small subunit ribosomal RNA
Source: RNAcentral